GCCCCCCCCGACCUCCGACCUCCAGACGGGAACGUUCUAGAUGGUUCCGUGUGUGUUAGCCCCUAGUAGAACCUCACUUGGGGGGUUCCCACCCUGGUGGGGUCAGUGGCCCCCGGGCUGGGUCCGAACAUUCUGGGGACACCUUCCUGCAACUGCUGCCACACACAUUGCUUCAAGCUCAUCCACACCACACUAACCAGUCGUCACGCUAACUACUACUGGUUAGCAGUAGUCACACUAGGUACUACUGGUUAGCAGUAGUUACACUUACUACUACUGAUUAGUAAUAGUUACACUAACUCCUACUGAUUAGUAGUAGUCACACUAGGUAUUACUGGUUAGUAGUAGUUACACAAAUUACCUUGUUGGGACACAACAAUAUUCUCUAUCUAUGGAGAUGCUUCCAGCCCUAGCUUAUCAGUCAGCUAUCAUCCGGGACCCGAUAGGGAACCUCGGGAGCCAAAAAUGGCUCCCGAGCCACAGAUUGGGCAACCCCUACCAAUCCUUACCAGACAUCUACAGUAGCGUGCUGCUCCACAUGGCCUUUCACCAGGGUAUACUGAGUCCCUGUCUGGCUGCUAAGCUGACAGCGGGUGCUAAGCUUGCUAGCUUGUGGGCUAGCGACCUUUAGGCUAGCUACAGCUCUGGUCUGGAACGAGGCUGAGAAAUUGAUUUUCUAUUAUUCCAUCUAUUUUAAUCAAACGCCUCCUGAUGUGAAUCUCCCUUUCACAUCUGCCGAUUCCUAUCACCUGCCAUGUGUCUCCACUCAUGCAAACCAUCCAUCCAUCACACACACUUACACACUUACACACUUACCCACUUACACACUUACACACACACACACACACACACACACACACACACAAAAACACUUACACCCAAACGCACACACACACACACACACACACUUACACACA
Molecule: long non-coding RNA, 917 nt
Organism: Gadus macrocephalus (Pacific cod)
Lineage: Eukaryota; Metazoa; Chordata; Actinopteri; Gadiformes; Gadidae
Exons: 2
Source: RefSeq, a predicted model, not a curated record